AGCAGUGGGGAAUUUUGGACAAUGGGCGCAAGCCUGAUCCAGCAAUGCCGCGUGCAGGAUGAAGGCCUUCGGGUUGUAAACUGCUUUUGUACGGAACGAAAAGCCUUGGGUUAAUACCCUGGGGUCAUGACGGUACCGUAAGAAUAAGCACCGGCUAACUACGUGCCAGCAGCCGCGGUAAUACGUAGGGUGCAAGCGUUAAUCGGAAUUACUGGGCGUAAAGCGUGCGCAGGCGGUUUUGUAAGACAGAGGUGAAAUCCCCGGGCUCAACCUGGGAACUGCCUUUGUGACUGCAAGGCUAGAGUACGGCAGAGGGGGAUGGAAUUCCGCGUGUAGCAGUGAAAUGCGUAGAUAUGCGGAGGAACACCGAUGGCGAAGGCAAUCCCCUGGGCCUGUACUGACGCUCAUGCACGAAAGCGUGGGGAGCAAACAGGAUUAGAUACCCUGGUAGUCCACGCCCUAAACGAUGUCAACUGGUUGUUGGGUCUUAACUGACUCAGUAACGAAGCUA
Molecule: ribosomal RNA, 511 nt
Filed under: uncultured bacterium
Lineage: Bacteria
Description: bacterial SSU rRNA
Rfam family: Bacterial small subunit ribosomal RNA
Source: RNAcentral